AAAUUUCAUUCGUCUUCUUGGUGAGCGAGAAAGGGAAGGGUCAAGGGUUGUUUUGUGAACAAGACACGAACUAGGGUUUCUGCAAUAAAAGGAGUCAUUUUCUUGAUCUGCAAAGCGAAAAUGGCAGCAAGCACGAGUCUGUUCAAGUUUCUUCGACCUGGGCUUCGUCCCCAGUCGGCUGAUAUUCAAGCCGCGGCGAUGUGGGGUGUCGCUGCAACCACCGGAGCUCUUUGGCUUAUCCAGCCAUUCGAUUGGUUGAAGAAGACGUUUUUGGAGAAAUCUGAGUCAGAAGGGCAGUGAUUCUUGAUAAUGGAUGGAAUUAAACCACCUUCCGAUCAUCUGACAGGUUUGUGGUGGCGUGUCCAAACAGAGUAUUUAAAAUUUUUAAUAAGGGAACUUUUUUUUUUGUUUGUUUGUUUGUUUUCUUUCGGAGGUAUCUGUGAUAAAUUGAGAUUUAUUAAGGGAACAUGAAUUUUACGUUUUUUACAGUUCUCUCCCUUUAAACCUUUGUGCACUGCUGAAUCUCAUCCAGUUUCACAACCCGUUUAUUUAUUUUUUGUUUGUUUCGGUGCAUAUUUCAUUGAUAGUUGCGUGCAGUUUGGAGGGGAAAUGGUAUAUUGUUGUGUAUACUGGUUAACCA
This is a long non-coding RNA of Nelumbo nucifera (sacred lotus), 640 nucleotides long. RefSeq lists it as uncharacterized. Lineage: Eukaryota; Viridiplantae; Streptophyta; Magnoliopsida; Proteales; Nelumbonaceae. The record is from RefSeq and is a predicted model, not a curated record.